This 769-nucleotide ribosomal RNA is filed under the name uncultured bacterium. Its description in RNAcentral is "bacterial SSU rRNA". It matches the Rfam family "Bacterial small subunit ribosomal RNA", at positions 28 to 776 of the family's 1533-position model. The record is from RNAcentral.
AUUGAACGCUGGCGGCAGGCCUAACACAUGCAAGUCGAGCGGCAGCGACUUAACUGAACCUUCGGGGGACGUUAAGGGCGGCGAGCGGCGGACGGGUGAGUAAUGCCUGGGAAUAUGCCCUGAUGUGGGGGAUAACUAUUGGAAACGAUAGCUAAUACCGCAUAAUCUCUUCGGAGCAAAGAGGGGGACCUUCGGGCCUCUCGCGUCAGGAUUAGCCCAGGUGGGAUUAGCUUGUUGGUGAGGUAAUGGCUCACCAAGGCAACGAUCCCUAGCUGGUCUGAGAGGAUGAUCAGCCACACUGGAACUGAGACACGGUCCAGACUCCUACGGGAGGCAGCAGUGGGGAAUAUUGCACAAUGGGGGAAACCCUGAUGCAGCCAUGCCGCGUGUGUGAAGAAGGCCUUCGGGUUGUAAAGCACUUUCAGUAGGGAGGAAGGUAGUGUAGUUAACACCUGCACUAUUUGACGUUACCUACAGAAGAAGCACCGGCUAACUCUGUGCCAGCAGCCGCGGUAAUACGGAGGGUGCGAGCGUUAAUCGGAAUUACUGGGCGUAAAGCGCAUGCAGGCGGCCUGUUAAGUCAGAUGUGAAAGCCCGGGGCUUAACCUCGGAAUUGCAUUUGAAACUGGCAGGCUAGAGUCUUGUAGAGGGGGGUAGAAUUUCAGGUGUAGCGGUGAAAUGCGUAGAGAUCUGAAGGAAUACCAGUGGCGAAGGCGGCCCCCUGGACAAAGACUGACGCUCAGAUGCGAAAGCGUGGGGAGCAAACAGG